RNAcentral lists this ribosomal RNA (253 nucleotides) under uncultured bacterium. RNAcentral's name for it is "partial 16S ribosomal RNA". It matches the Rfam family "Bacterial small subunit ribosomal RNA", at positions 524 to 776 of the family's 1533-position model. The record is from RNAcentral.
UACGGAGGAUCCAAGCGUUAUCCGGAAUCAUUGGGUUUAAAGGGUCCGUAGGCGGUUUGGUAAGUCAGUGGUAAAAGCCCAUCGCUCAACGGUGGAACGGCCAUUGAUACUGCCAGACUUGAAUUAUUAGGAAGUAACUAGAAUAUGUAGUGUAGCGGUGAAAUGCUUAGAUAUUACAUGGAAUACCAAUUGCGAAGGCAGGUUACUACUAAUGGAUUGACGCUGAUGGACGAAAGCGUGGGUAGCGAACAGG